GGGGAAGUCCGGUGAGAGUCCGGCGCUGACCCGCAACGGUAUGCGGACGUCCCGAAGGGGCACCGUUCCGCAAGCCCGAUCACCC
RNAcentral lists this non-coding RNA (85 nucleotides) under Streptomyces sp. Lineage: Bacteria; Bacillati; Actinomycetota; Actinomycetes; Kitasatosporales; Streptomycetaceae. The record is from RNAcentral.